AAUAUACUCCCUCCGUCCAGAAAUACUUGAGAAGGAAAUACUUGUCAAAGGAAUGAAUGCAUCUAGAUGUAUUUUAGUUUUAGAUACAUUUUCUUUAUCAAUUUAUGUGACAAGUAAUUUCGGACGGAGAAAGUACUAC
Molecule: microRNA precursor, 139 nt
Filed under: Hordeum vulgare
Lineage: Eukaryota; Viridiplantae; Streptophyta; Magnoliopsida; Poales; Poaceae
Description: microRNA MIR1122
Rfam family: MIR1120/MIR1122 microRNA precursor family
Source: RNAcentral